RNAcentral lists this ribosomal RNA (465 nucleotides) under uncultured Klebsiella sp. RNAcentral describes it as "bacterial SSU rRNA". It matches the Rfam family "Bacterial small subunit ribosomal RNA", at positions 338 to 795 of the family's 1533-position model. Lineage: Bacteria; Pseudomonadati; Pseudomonadota; Gammaproteobacteria; Enterobacterales; Enterobacteriaceae. The record is from RNAcentral.
CCUACGGGUGGCUGCAGUGGGGAAUAUUGCACAAUGGGCGCAAGCCUGAUGCAGCCAUGCCGCGUGUGUGAAGAAGGCCUUCGGGUUGUAAAGCACUUUCAGCGGGGAGGAAGGCGGUGAGGUUAAUAACCUCAUCGAUUGACGUUACCCGCAGAAGAAGCACCGGCUAACUCCGUGCCAGCAGCCGCGGUAAUACGGAGGGUGCAAGCGUUAAUCGGAAUUACUGGGCGUAAAGCGCACGCAGGCGGUCUGUCAAGUCGGAUGUGAAAUCCCCGGGCUCAACCUGGGAACUGCAUUCGAAACUGGCAGGCUAGAGUCUUGUAGAGGGGGGUAGAAUUCCAGGUGUAGCGGUGAAAUGCGUAGAGAUCUGGAGGAAUACCGGUGGCGAAGGCGGCCACCUGGACAAAGACUGACGCUCAGGUGCGAAAGCGUGGGGAGCAAACAGGAUUAGAUACCCCGGUAGUC